Molecule: ribosomal RNA, 878 nt
Filed under: Lacticaseibacillus paracasei subsp. paracasei
Lineage: Bacteria; Bacillati; Bacillota; Bacilli; Lactobacillales; Lactobacillaceae
Description: bacterial SSU rRNA
Rfam family: Bacterial small subunit ribosomal RNA
Source: RNAcentral
UGCAGUCGAACGAGUUCUCGUUGAUGAUCGGUGCUUGCACCGAGAUUCAACAUGGAACGAGUGGCGGACGGGUGAGUAACACGUGGGUAACCUGCCCUUAAGUGGGGGAUAACAUUUGGAAACAGAUGCUAAUACCGCAUAGAUCCAAGAACCGCAUGGUUCUUGGCUGAAAGAUGGCGUAAGCUAUCGCUUUUGGAUGGACCCGCGGCGUAUUAGCUAGUUGGUGAGGUAAUGGCUCACCAAGGCGAUGAUACGUAGCCGAACUGAGAGGUUGAUCGGCCACAUUGGGACUGAGACACGGCCCAAACUCCUACGGGAGGCAGCAGUAGGGAAUCUUCCACAAUGGACGCAAGUCUGAUGGAGCAACGCCGCGUGAGUGAAGAAGGCUUUCGGGUCGUAAAACUCUGUUGUUGGAGAAGAAUGGUCGGCAGAGUAACUGUUGUCGGCGUGACGGUAUCCAACCAGAAAGCCACGGCUAACUACGUGCCAGCAGCCGCGGUAAUACGUAGGUGGCAAGCGUUAUCCGGAUUUAUUGGGCGUAAAGCGAGCGCAGGCGGUUUUUUAAGUCUGAUGUGAAAGCCCUCGGCUUAACCGAGGAAGCGCAUCGGAAACUGGGAAACUUGAGUGCAGAAGAGGACAGUGGAACUCCAUGUGUAGCGGUGAAAUGCGUAGAUAUAUGGAAGAACACCAGUGGCGAAGGCGGCUGUCUGGUCUGUAACUGACGCUGAGGCUCGAAAGCAUGGGUAGCGAACAGGAUUAGAUACCCUGGUAGUCCAUGCCGUAAACGAUGAAUGCUAGGUGUUGGAGGGUUUCCGCCCUUCAGUGCCGCAGCUAACGCAUUAGGCAUUCCGCCAAGAAGAGUACGACCGCAAGGUUGA